GAGACUCCGUCUUAAAAAAAAAAAAAAAAAAGGCUGCUGGGUUUGAUCAAGGUUGUUGAGAGGAGUUUAAAUUCAAUAGUGAUGGGAGGCAGAAGCCAAAAUUCCUUCAAAAAAGGAAUCAGUGAGAGGUGGGGAAAAUGGAGAAUGAUUUUUUCAUUUUGUCUUGUAAACAGAAAGUUAUCCAGUUUUGAAAGCAAUGGUAUAGGGAAAGAUGAAAGGUUGAGACUUUUCUUUAGGUGAAGAAUAGCUGCGUAGGUUUAUAGGCUGACAGGAUGGCAGCGAUGAAAAGGGAGAUAUUGCAGACAUGAAAGAGAAGGUAUUAUUCUCAGAGGAAAGUCCUAGAAGAAAAGGGAGGAAUAAGAUCAGGGGUCAGCAUUAGAAAAGAGGAGUAAGACUACUUUCAGGGAGAGAACAGUUGGAGGCAGGGGAUCUGGUGAUGAGUCAAGAGGAGGGGAAGCUGAUUGGAGCAGUCCUAUGGGAUGGUCCGUUACUUCAGUUAAGAUCAGGAGGCUGAGGGUGACCAUGGGAGCAUGUGGUAAAAACUCCAGGGGCCAGAUAUUAAGAGGCUGGACAUGGGAGGUGUGGAAUCCUGCAUUCAAGAUCUGCACACAGGGAACUUUCAUAUUACCCACAAGCCAGAAAUAGUAAUGACAUUAGUCUCUUAUAUACUGUGCAAUUUAGGAAGUAUUUUCAUGUUAUUUUGCAACAAAUCUGUCAUUCCAGAUGAUAUUUACUUAACAUUUAAAAAUAAGCAAAUUUAAGCCCAGAGUGACUGUGAUUUGCUUGGAUGUUUUUACAUCUAGUAAAUAAUUGUCACACAGUUUUAAUUCAAGGGCUUUUAGUUUCUUUCCUUUCCUUUUCUAACAUUUUGUCUUUGAUGUUUUUGUCUAGAAACUUUGUUCAUAAGGUCCCUAAGGCAUGAGUUAAGCUCUGAUGAUUAAAUAACCCACACUCUGUAUAGAAUUACUUUUGAGACUUCUCUCCUUCCAGAUGCACAAUUUACAGCAAACCAAUUAGAUAUAACAAGUGCUGACAUUCCACUAAAAUACUUUAGGUAAUACAUGUACCCACAAAUAUAAUUAUACAAUUACUAAGACAUCAUUCAUUCAGUGAAUAACUUACUGAAUCUAUUAUGCCAGGCAUUUUGCUGAGCACUAUGGGAAACAGAACUGAACCAGAUAUUUUGUAUCAGACAAGUAAACUCAAAAACACCAAAACAAUGUGGUAAGACAUCCUGCGCAAACGCAGUUAGUCUUGGGUGAGUGUGCCAUGUUCGUGUAAUGAAGUGUCUGCCAGGAUGAAAUAUUAGAUGUGAGGACUGAGAGCAAGGAAAGUUUAGAAGCCCAGGUUUCUUAGGCCAGUGUGUGAAUGCUGGUACCUUUUGUGGAACUAUGGGAUAAGUGAAGCCUGAGUUUCAGGGAACAGCGAGUUCCAUUUAGGGCAUGUAUAGUUACAGUAUCUGUAAGACAUCUGUGUAGAGGUGAACAGUUUGAAGUUGGCUUUACAGGUCAAAGCUCAGGAAAGAUUUAAAGGCUGAAGAAAGAAGAGAUACAGAAGCAGACUGAGAGGUUAAGUGUUUGGAUAUAGUUACAAAUAAUAAAAAUCUCAGUGGCUUAACAAAAAAAGCAUAAGCUUGUUCAUUCUGUGUCCAAUGUGGACUGGCAGAACCCUGCUUCAAACCAGCAUUCAAAGAACGAGGCUGACAGAGCCAGUCAUCUUUUAACUGCACUGACUGCAACAUGAAGCCUUGUCACUGUAGCAACGGAAACGAUCAGGGAGGGUUUGGGGCCAGAUCUUGCAUACUUUGGCUCAGAAGUGACACAUCACUUUUACCUAAACCCUACUGGCAGAAGUGGUCACGUGGCCCCGACCAAUCACAAAGAGGCUGAAAAGUACAAUCUUGUGUAUGCCCAGAAGGGGAAGAAAACCAGGUCUUAGUUAAGAGUAAUGCCAGAGUAUAAUUAAAAUUCUGAUAUUUUCUGCCAUUUUAUAUGCAGCAUGCAAUUUUCUGUUCUAUCCAGCUAUCUCUUAAGCCACAUGUUCCAGUAAUAUUAAGAUUCACGCAGUUCUCUGAACAUGCCAAGUGACUUCACACUUUCAUUCAACCUGCACCUUCAAUAUGCACGUUGAUGCCCUUGCAUCUCGUUUCCUCUGCCUAUGACAUACUCAAGCUGUGGCAGAACUGUGCCCCAUGAGAAACCUUUCCUAACCCUCUCUCAGGCAGGCCUGGGCAUUCCUCUUGCUCUGUGUUUUCACUAUAAAUACCAAAAUUGCCAAUUUACAUUCACUAAUCUUUUACUCAUCUGUGACUGUUAAGGAAUAGGCACCUGAACCAUUAGUCCAUUCACAUAUUUAAUAUUUUCCAUUACACAGCACAGAGUAUAUGAACUCAAAAGAUAGACUGCCCAGGUUUGGAUACUGGAGAGACCACUUGCAACAUUUGUAAAUCCUCAUUAAUUUAUACAACCUUCUGUUCCAUUGUUUCCUCAUCUGUAGCAGAGUUAUGAAGAUUAAAUUAGACAAUGUGUGAUAAAUGACACACAGUGCCUAUCACAAAGCUCAACAAAAUCACCUACAGUUAUUAAUGUCACUGUGUCAGGCACCAAAAGAGAAAGUUCCCUUUUGUCUCUAAAGUUAAUUUCAAGUUGCUAUGUAUAGGAAAAGAGUGGUCCCAUUUCUGUAAGUAAACUCCAUACAUAGGAUACAUUUCUAACAAUCCACCAUUUACUUUUAUAAAAAUUCAAUAACAUUAAAAAGGAGAAAUUUUGUUUGAAGACUAAAGUCCCAUUACAGAUUUUUCACUUAUGAACAAAGAAAGCAGUUUCAAAGAAAAAUGGCACAGUUUGAAAGAUAUUUACCCAAGAUGAGUUAAAAUAUUCUGUAACUAUAAAAGAUUAGAUAAAAUAAUAAUGAAUAUGGAAAUAGUAAACAUGAUACUAACUUUCAUCUUCACUUCUAAGUGAAUAAGAAAAUGCUCCAGAAAGGGGGAACGCACUACAGACCGCAGAAAUAAAUGACAGUACACUGAUGGAGAUUGAAAUUCCUUCACUUUGACCCAGUCAACAAAGGAGCUUUCAACAUUUACAGGUGUCAGAGAAGUCAAGACCUGAAGAGAACCCAGCCAUGCAGUGUAGAGGGAAGAGCAGAGCUCAUAGAAAGUGUGUCCCAGCACUUUGGGAGGCCAAGCACACACCACCUUCAGAAGAAAAUGUUCUUUAUCUCGAUUGGGAUAUUGGCUACAAGAGGAUAUGCACAUACCAAAAGUCAAUGACCUGCACAAUUACAAUGUAUGAACUUCAUUGUAUUACACCUUAAUAAAAUUGAGCUUAAAAAAUUAUUUCAGGAAGUACUAUUUUCCAAUA
This 3362-nucleotide long non-coding RNA is filed under the name Homo sapiens (human). RNAcentral describes it as "HSALNT0348662". Lineage: Eukaryota; Metazoa; Chordata; Mammalia; Primates; Hominidae. The record is from RNAcentral.